This 581-nucleotide ribosomal RNA is filed under the name uncultured Dechloromonas sp. RNAcentral describes it as "bacterial SSU rRNA". It matches the Rfam family "Bacterial small subunit ribosomal RNA", at positions 73 to 649 of the family's 1533-position model. The record is from RNAcentral. Lineage: Bacteria; Pseudomonadati; Pseudomonadota; Betaproteobacteria; Rhodocyclales; Azonexaceae.
GGGGACUUCGGUCCGCCGGCGAGUGGCGAACGGGUGAGUAAAGUAUCGGAACGUACCUUUCAGUGGGGGAUAACGUAGCGAAAGUUACGCUAAUACCGCAUAUUCUGUGAGCAGGAAAGCAGGGGAUCGCAAGACCUUGCGCUGAUUGAGCGGCCGAUAUCAGAUUAGCUAGUUGGUGGGGUAAAGGCCUACCAAGGCGACGAUCUGUAGCGGGUCUGAGAGGAUGAUCCGCCACACUGGAACUGAGACACGGUCCAGACUCCUACGGGAGGCAGCAGUGGGGAAUUUUGGACAAUGGGGGCAACCCUGAUCCAGCCAUGCCGCGUGAGUGAAGAAGGCCUUCGGGUUGUAAAGCUCUUUCGGCCGGGAAGAAAUCGCACAGGCUAAUACCCUGUGUGGAUGACGGUACCGGAAUAAGAAGCACCGGCUAACUACGUGCCAGCAGCCGCGGUAAUACGUAAGGGUGCGAGCGUUAAUCGGAAUUACUGGGCGUAAAGCGUGCGCAGGCGGUUUCGUAAGACAGAGGUGAAAUCCCCGGGCUCAACCUGGGAACUGCCUUUGUGACUGCGAGGCUAGAGUAC